RNAcentral lists this transfer RNA (77 nucleotides) under Candidatus Liptonbacteria bacterium CG11_big_fil_rev_8_21_14_0_20_35_14. RNAcentral describes it as "tRNA-Arg". It matches the Rfam family "tRNA". From Rfam's summary of the family: Transfer RNA (tRNA) molecules are approximately 80 nucleotides in length. Their secondary structure includes four short double-helical elements and three loops (D, anti-codon, and T loops). The record is from RNAcentral. Lineage: Bacteria; Candidatus Liptoniibacteriota.
GCACCCGUAGCUCAACUGGAUAGAGUAUCUGGCUUCGAACCAGACGGUUGCAGGUUCAAAUCCUGCCGGGUGCACCA